This 1247-nucleotide long non-coding RNA is filed under the name Homo sapiens (human). RNAcentral describes it as "HSALNT0049778". Lineage: Eukaryota; Metazoa; Chordata; Mammalia; Primates; Hominidae. The record is from RNAcentral.
CUCCUUCAAUUUUUCUGACAUCUGGUAAUUUUCAGGCAAUGGAUACACUGAAAAGCAACUGUCUCAACAGCCCUACAGACAUUUAGCAAUUGAAGUUUCAGUUGCAUACAGUCUCUCUCUGGGUUAUCGUCAUUGCUUUGUCCAUCAGCCUUCUAGCAUUGGUAACUGUCAGAUCUUUAUUGCAGCCUGGGGUUCACUCUUGAGCUAAAGACUCAAAUAUGUCUGCAGCCAGGUCUUCCCUGGUUGCAGCUCCAGACAUCACCUCCGUGGAGGUCUUAUCAGCAUCUGUUUCCCACUUCCUCCACCCUAAGGAAGGACUCCAACUUUCCUAGGAUGGAGGAGUGGAAUUCCCUUUUUUUCCCUGGCGUUCAUGGGAGCCAUUGAUUAGGUUGGGACACUGUCUCCCUCCGCUUUCUAGGAGUUGGCUCUGUCUCUGGCCAAAAGUGAAGGCCACACUCCCGUGACUGCUCUGGGAAUGAGCUUGGUGUCUAAUAACCCAUGAAGGAGAGAGCACUUUGGAAGGCUCCUCUGUUCUCUCAUGGCCAUAAGGGGAAGCCAGCCUUGGGUGAAAGCAGAGGAGAUGGGAGAGCCAAGGUCCUUGAUGCCACUGUUGGGCCACUGAAAUGAAUCAAACAAAACCUGAAGUCCCUCCUCCUCCUGGACUGUUUCAUGAAUCAUCAUCACCCUUUACGGUUGGAGGAUGGUUGAGGAAGGCCCAGCUGUUUCCCACCAUGGUGCCUCUGUACAUCCCAGUCCAGUUCCUGAAAUGCGCUCUGUAGCCUGGAGAGCUCCUGCGCAUCCUGUGAAGCCCCAUCAAGAAUCCGCUCUCCUGCAGUCCUUCCCCGAGGCCCUCGGAGGGUCCAAGACAGCCAAUCCCUCUUCUCUGCGGUGACUCUUGCGGCCUCCCUCAUCUCGUUCCCUCCGCAGGCCUCGAGUUACCCUUGCGCCUUCCACAUUUACUGAAUGAACAAAGGCCGGGGCUGGAAUCAGGCAGGGCUUGAGCAAGUCGUGGCUCCACGUGCUAGGUGAUCAGGGCAAGUUAAUUAACACUUGGGCCUCAGUUUCCUCAGGUGUCCCACGGCGCUCCCUGUGCCCCCAUCACGGGAGUGUUGGGGGAAUUUAGCGCUUUCUCUCCCAGGGGUACUCGGCCCAGGGGCUGACCGGGUAAGCGGGAGGCUGGCACCGAGGCCCGCGGGGUGUCGGCCCCAAGCCCCUGAAGUCACAGAGGGCGGGCACGCCCGGAGGCG